This 497-nucleotide ribosomal RNA is filed under the name uncultured bacterium. RNAcentral describes it as "partial 16S ribosomal RNA". It matches the Rfam family "Bacterial small subunit ribosomal RNA", at positions 28 to 507 of the family's 1533-position model. The record is from RNAcentral.
GAUGAACGCUGGCGGCGUGCCUAAUACAUGCAAGUCGAGCGAACAGACGAGGAGCUUGCUCCUCUGACGUUAGCGGCGGACGGGUGAGUAACACGUGGAUAACCUACCUAUAAGACUGGGAUAACUUCGGGAAACCGGAGCUAAUACCGGAUAAUAUAUUGAACCGCAUGGUUCAAUAGUGAAAGACGGUUUUGCUGUCACUUCUAGAUGGAUCCGCGCCGCAUUAGCUAGUUGGUAAGGUAACGGCUUACCAAGGCAACGAUGCGUAGCCGACCUGAGAGGGUGAUCGGCCACACUGGAACUGAGACACGGUCCAGACUCCUACGGGAGGCAGCAGUAGGGAAUCUUCCGCAAUGGGCGAAAGCCUGACGGAGCAACGCCGCGUGAGUGAUGAAGGUCUUCGGAUCGUAAAACUCUGUUAUUAGGGAAGAACAACUGUGUAAUUAACUAUGCACGUCUUGACGGUACCUAAUCAGAAAGCCACGGCUAACUACGUG